GUUGUUGGGUAGGGGAGCGUUCUGUAAGCCUGCGAAGGUGGCCUGUGAGGGUUGCUGGAGGUAUCAGAAGUGCGAAUGCUGACAUAAGUAACGAUAAAGCGGGUGAAAAGCCCGCUCGCCGGAAGACCAAGGGUUCCUGUCCAACGUUAAUCGGGGCAGGGUGAGUCGACCCCUAAGGCGAGGCCGAAAGGCGUAGUCGAUGGGAAACGGGUUAAUAUUCCCGUACUUGGUGUUACUGCGAAGGGGGGACGGAGAAGGCUAUGUUGGCCGGGCGACGGUUGUCCCGGUUUAAGCGUGUAGGUGUGUGUUCCAGGUAAAUCCGGUUCACUUUAACACUGAGGCGUGAUGACGAGGCACUACGGUGCUGAAGCAACAAAUGCCCUGCUUCCAGGAAAAGCCUCUAAGCAUCAGGUAACAUCAAAUCGUACCCCAAACCGACACAGGUGGUCAGGUAGAGAAUACCAAGGCGCUUGAGAGAACUCGGGUGAAGGAACUAGGCAAAAUGGUGCCGUAACUUCGGGAGAAGGCACGCUGACACGUAGGUGAAGUGAUUUACUCAUGGAGCUGAAGUCAGUCGAAGAUACCAGCUGGCUGCAACUGUUUAUUAAAAACACAGCACUGUGCAAACACGAAAGUGGACGUAUACGGUGUGACGCCUGCCCGGUGCCGGAAGGUUAAUUGAUGGGGUCAGCGCAAGCGAAGCUCCUGAUCGAAGCCCCGGUAAACGGCGGCCGUAACUAUAACGGUCCUAAGGUAGCGAAAUUCCUUGUCGGGUAAGUUCCGACCUGCACGAAUGGCGUAAUGAUGGCCAGGCUGUCUCCACCCGAGACUCAGUGAAAUUGAACUCGCUGUGAAGAUGCAGUGUACCCGCGGCAAGACGGAAAGACCCCGUGAACCUUUACUAUAGCUUGACACUGAACAUUGAGCCUUGAUGUGUAGGAUAGGUGGGAGGCUUUGAAGUGUGGACGCCAGUCUGCAUGGAGCCGACCUUGAAAUACCACCCUUUAAUGUUUGAUGUUCUAACGUGGACCCGUGAUCCGGGUUGCGGACAGUGUCUGGUGGGUAGUUUGACUGGGGCGGUCUCCUCCUAAAGAGUAACGGAGGAGCACGAAGGUUGGCUAAUCCUGGUCGGACAUCAGGAGGUUAGUGCAAUGGCAUAAGCCAGCUUGACUGCGAGCGUGACGGCGCGAGCAGGUGCGAAAGCAGGUCAUAGUGAUCCGGUGGUUCUGAAUGGAAGGGCCAUCGCUCAACGGAUAAAAGGUACUCCGGGGAUAACAGGCUGAUACCGCCCAAGAGUUCAUAUCGACGGCGGUGUUUGGCACCUCGAUGUCGGCUCAUCACAUCCUGGGGCUGAAGUAGGUCCCAAGGGUAUGGCUGUUCGCCAUUUAAAGUGGUACGCGAGCUGGGUUUAGAACGUCGUGAGACAGUUCGGUCCCUAUCUGCCGUGGGCGCUGGAGAACUGAGGGGGGCUGCUCCUAGUACGAGAGGACCGGAGUGGACGCAUCACUGGUGUUCGGGUUGUCAUGCCAAUGGCACUGCCCGGUAGCUAAAUGCGGAAGAGAUAAGUGCUGAAAGCAUCUAAGCACGAAACUUGCCCCGAGAUGAGUUCUCCCUGAGACUUUAGGUCUCCUGAAGGAACGUUGAAGACGACGACGUUGAUAGGCCGGGUGUGUAAGCGCAGCGAUGCGUUGAGCUAACCGGUACUAAUGAACCGUGAGGCUUAACCUUACAACGCCGAAG
RNAcentral lists this ribosomal RNA (1740 nucleotides) under Salmonella enterica subsp. enterica. RNAcentral describes it as "bacterial LSU rRNA". It matches the Rfam family "Bacterial large subunit ribosomal RNA", at positions 1220 to 2925 of the family's 2925-position model. The record is from RNAcentral. Lineage: Bacteria; Pseudomonadati; Pseudomonadota; Gammaproteobacteria; Enterobacterales; Enterobacteriaceae. RNAcentral also lists the same sequence under 1 other name.